GUGCUACUUUGUCGGAUGAUCAGAUGGUUGAUCGUAUCUCGAUUUUGAUAAAAUUUUAGUAUAUUAUUUCUGACAUCAUGAGCUACAAGUUGAAUGAUUUUAAUCUUUGAAAAGUUUUCUUCAAUAAUUAUUUCAAAUAUUCACAUGUUUGGUGAGAUAUGCGUUGGAAUUUCUAUAGUGCGCAUACAUAUGUGUUUCAAAUUUUUUUUUUAAACAAUAC
This 220-nucleotide long non-coding RNA is filed under the name Elaeis guineensis (African oil palm). RNAcentral's name for it is "long non-coding RNA (EGUI_LNC041893)". The record is from RNAcentral. Lineage: Eukaryota; Viridiplantae; Streptophyta; Magnoliopsida; Arecales; Arecaceae.